AGAGUUUGAUCAUGGCUCAGAACGAACGUUGGCGGCGUGCUUAACACAUGCAAGUCGAACGAGAAAGUUUUCUUCGGAGAACGAGUAAAGUGGCGCACGGGUGAGUAACGCGUAAGUAAUCUACCCUUGCAUCUGGAAUAACUACGGGAAGCUGUAGCUAAUACCGGAUACGUUCAUAGAGUUACGACUCUAUGAAGAAAGAUGACCUCUUCUUGAAAGUUAUCGUGCAGGGAGGAGCUUGCGUACCAUUAGCUAGUUGGUAGGGUAAAGGCCUACCAAGGCAACGAUGGUUAGCGGGUCUGAGAGGAUGAUCCGCCACACUGGAACUGGAACACGGACCAGACUCCUACGGGAGGCAGCAGUGAGGAAUAUUGCGCAAUGGGGGCAACCCUGACGCAGCGACGCCGCGUGGAUGAUGAAGGCCUUCGGGUCGUAAAAUCCUGUCAGAUGGGAAGAAAUGUAUAUAGGAAUAAUACCCUAUGUGCUUGACGGUACCAUCAAAG
Molecule: ribosomal RNA, 503 nt
Filed under: uncultured bacterium
Lineage: Bacteria
Description: bacterial SSU rRNA
Rfam family: Bacterial small subunit ribosomal RNA
Source: RNAcentral